This is a long non-coding RNA of Xiphophorus couchianus (Monterrey platyfish), 166 nucleotides long. RefSeq lists it as uncharacterized. The transcript has 4 exons. Lineage: Eukaryota; Metazoa; Chordata; Actinopteri; Cyprinodontiformes; Poeciliidae. The record is from RefSeq and is a predicted model, not a curated record.
AAACUUGUUUGAUGCGUUCAUCUGCUUUAUGUGUGUUCAAGCAGGUGAAUAUUAACUAAACCACAUAUCAAUGCGGCUAAAUAGCCUAAUGUUAAUAUAAUUAUAAUUUGACGGGUAAAAAUAGUACAUGACCGAUUUUUAAUUUAAUUAAAUUUUUUUUAAUACU